UUGAAUUCCACCUCUUAAACCACAGGGAACAGAAAAGAGGUAUAAUGACAAAAAAUAGUUUUUUCUGUUACACAGUGAGAAAACUUAAGAUCCUUCUUAAUUGAGGUGGAGCCUGAAGAACAUUGAUAAGGGCAAAAAGAACAUUUAGGUCAGUGUAGAGUUCUGCAGUUGUCCUCUGGCCUCUUCUUCAGAGUGAGAACCUUGAAAAAGGAGGGGCAAUGGAAAUCCUGUAUGGGUUUGGAGAUCUGAACUCUGAGGAGAGACAAUAUUGCAGCCCGCCUGAAUGCCAGCAGAGGAGAGGGGCAAUGUAGAGAAGGUGUAUCUCUGGUGUCAUGCUUGGGCAACUGCUUGAUAAUUACGCCUUUCAUUGGAACCCAGGAAACGGAAGAGACUCUGAUGAGACUGGAUUUUGAAAUGUUGCUUUUUGAGGUCCUUGUGGUGUGUAAAAAGAGAAACCUUUAUAGGAGCUAAAAGAAGGCAACUGAGGAGUUAAGUACCUUUUCCAAGGUCACAGGAAAGUGGCGAAUGAGAGUCCUGUGAUUCCAGUCUAGGUCAUCUGAAUCUAGAUCCUGUGUUCUUGACCACUACAUGAAAUUACUGACUGGCAACCAGAUCAUAGAAUUCUCUUAUUCCUACUCCAAGGAGCCUUUUCCCAAGCCUAUUUCACACUGUAGGCAUGGAUCACCCACUUCAGAAACAGUUCUAACGACUAUAAGUCUCAAAGACAGAAGUUGCAAGCUACUGAUGUGCUGCAUAAAAAUACUCACAGGCUUGCCUGAGGAGCAGCUUUUUCUACUCCCUGAAAGAUGUGUAACUGUGGAAGAGAGAGAAGAAGGCUGAGAGAACAAGCAGAUGGGAGGAAGGAACUGAGAUACCUCAAUCCUUGGGGAAGAAAACAGAACCUUCCUUUGCAAGUACCAGGGAAGUGUAGACCGUGACACAAUGUGAAGAGUCUUCUUGUUGCUGGUCAGAGAGUUUUACCAACUACCGGCUUAGUGCCCCAAAUCAUCUGCCUCCAUCCGACUGGUUCCCACAGACAAUUCACUAACUGAUGGUUCUGGAAACGGGUAGGGAAAUUAGAUGUCCAGUGAGGAGAUGAUGGCUGGAGGAGAAUUUGGGUGGAGACAGCAACUAAUAUACCUCUUCUGUUACAGAGGCAUAGAAACAAAGGAGAGGAAAUACAGCAACAUGUCAACCAUGCUCAUAUUUAGGUGGUGAUUAUAGGUGACUUUUAUUUCCUUCUUAAAACUGAAUUGUAUUUUCAAAGUUUUCUAUGAUGUAUGACAUAUAUAAUCAGAAGAUGGUUGAAAUAAAGAACAUCUUCAUUGGAAUAUGUGCCUGAUAUAUGGCAACUCCAUUUUCAUGCUGGGUUUGGCCAAGAGAGCACCCACAGCUGUGCCAAGAGUUCUCUUUGAAAGUCCAUCUGGGUUCAGCCCAAUUAAUAAAUAAACUCAAAGGCCCAGGGUUCUUCAUUGUGAUGCACAGGCAUAAUGAUUUUAGCUUGAUCACCCAAGGGCAUAGUCCAGAAAGAGAACAGUCUGAAGACUACUAGCUUCAAGACAGGAUGAAAUUAAAAAUGUUUGUCUAUGUGGUACUCUGCACUGCUGGCAUAAAUUUUGGUCUACAAUCUCCUCUGAGUGACUUCCUCCAGAGAAGUUAUCUCAAUUGCACUUAUACUUAUUUGUAUGACUAAUGCCUGCCUACUUCAGUAAACUAUAAACUCCACGGGAAUAGAAUCUCCAAUAUUUUAUUUCUUACCAUUGAAAAUCCAAUCCAGAGGCUAUAUUUGUGUGUGUAUAUAUAUAUAUAUAUACACACACAUAUGUAUAUAUUUUUGCAUACACGCUG
This 1848-nucleotide long non-coding RNA is filed under the name Homo sapiens (human). RNAcentral's name for it is "HSALNT0249780". The record is from RNAcentral. Lineage: Eukaryota; Metazoa; Chordata; Mammalia; Primates; Hominidae.